Molecule: transfer RNA, 76 nt
Filed under: Desulfobacterales bacterium CG23_combo_of_CG06-09_8_20_14_all_52_9
Lineage: Bacteria; Pseudomonadati; Thermodesulfobacteriota; Desulfobacteria; Desulfobacterales
Also listed under: 2 other names
Description: tRNA-Thr
Rfam family: tRNA
About the family: Transfer RNA (tRNA) molecules are approximately 80 nucleotides in length. Their secondary structure includes four short double-helical elements and three loops (D, anti-codon, and T loops).
Source: RNAcentral
GCCAGCGUAGCUCAGUUGGUAGAGCUACUGAUUUGUAAUCAGUGGGUCGGGGGUUCGAAUCCCUUCGCUGGCUCCA